Pelobates cultripes (western spadefoot toad) is the source of this 224-nucleotide non-coding RNA. The record is from the annotation of a GenBank genome assembly. Lineage: Eukaryota; Metazoa; Chordata; Amphibia; Anura; Pelobatidae.
CAACCAAAAUGAUCGUUGCUAAAAAUACUACUUGUUUAACUGUGUUUUAGGAUGGCCCUUUAACUGUAAAUGGGCAUAUAUUGCAAGUCCUAGCAUUGUCAUAAGCAAGGGGGCUCAUACUUUCUAAACUUUGUAGCUAUAGUUCACAAAGUGUAUUUCUUGUUUUCUGCAAUGAUGUCUAGAUCAUGGACACAUAUUGCAAGAAAAUAAAUGAUAGAUUUGCG